AACGAGGCCGACCUGCGGCUGAGUUACCUGCGGAGGGAUCAUUAUCGCAUCUUCAGGCGGAGGCGGGCGAUCCCAGCUCUGGGCCCCAAUCGGCCCGUGCAGCGGGGUCCCCGUCGACGUCCAAAACCUUUGCUAAACCCAACUGUGCACCUUUGCGGUGGAAGGCUGGCAACGGCCCGACACCGCCUCACUAAACACUGUCACAAACGAAUGUUCAAGCGACGCUUUGCGUUGCCUAAU
RNAcentral lists this unclassified non-coding RNA (240 nucleotides) under soil metagenome. RNAcentral's name for it is "partial contains 5.8S ribosomal RNA, internal transcribed spacer 2, and large subunit ribosomal RNA". The record is from RNAcentral.